UACGGGGGGGGCAAGCGUUGUUCGGAAUUACUGGGCGUAAAGGGCUCGUAGGCGGCCAACUAAGUCGGAUGUGAAAUCCCCAGGCUUAACCUGGGAACUGCAUCCGAUACUGGUUGGCUUGAAUCCGGGAGAGGGAUGCAGAAUUCCAGGUGUAGCGGUGAAAUGCGUAGAUAUCUGGAGGAACACCGAUUGCGAAGGCAGCUCCCUGGGACGUAACUGACGCUGAGACGCGAAAGCGUGGGGAGCAAACAGG
Molecule: ribosomal RNA, 253 nt
Filed under: uncultured bacterium
Lineage: Bacteria
Description: partial 16S ribosomal RNA
Rfam family: Bacterial small subunit ribosomal RNA
Source: RNAcentral